Molecule: transfer RNA, 54 nt
Filed under: Cheliceroides longipalpis
Lineage: Eukaryota; Metazoa; Arthropoda; Arachnida; Araneae; Salticidae
Description: tRNA-Thr
Source: RNAcentral
GGUUAAUUAGUUUAAGUAAAACAGAAGUUUUGUAAAUUUCAGUUCUAUAAAUUA